Long non-coding RNA from Podarcis muralis (Common wall lizard), 826 nucleotides. RefSeq lists it as uncharacterized. The record is from RefSeq and is a predicted model, not a curated record. NCBI's taxonomy places the organism in Eukaryota, Metazoa, Chordata, Lepidosauria, Squamata, Lacertidae.
UCAGCUUUCUGAUUUGUAUGCAAAUGUCUUUUCUGCUUUCUAUUUAGUUGCUGGUUUUGAUAAUGUCUGUCCUUGUUCUAACCUGGGUUUUUGUUUGCUUUCUCAUUGUUUCCCCAAGAUUCUGGAUUUUUCCUAUUCUCAUAGCAUCUCUCAUGCUAUGUUGUCUCACUUACAUCCCGAUCUCUACUUCUUGGAAAGCUAUUUUACCGGGCAUGCUUCAUUGUACAUUUUAAUUAUAACUCCUGUGCACAUGCUUCCCUAUGUAUUUUGGCAAGCAGGAUAACCUUAUGUACAUAAGAGACACUCAAUGGACUGGAGCCCCCAUUUCUGCAAGAAGGCGGCUAGAUCAGGAGCACCUCAAGCUUAGUGGGAAACCGAUUACUUAAACAAGGAGGACAGCAGAGGCUGAUUUCCUGAGUUAUGGAGACCGCAUGGAUUUACUCUUCAGAGGCAACUUUUAUCUCUGGGCCAGUUCUACAACUGGCAGAGCAAUCUUAUACAUGUCUAUUCAGAACUAAAGGCGUAAGAAGACACUCCAAAAGAAGGUCUUCAAAGAGCAAGAGUAUGAAACACACUGGAGAACUAUUUAUACAAGAUCAAAAAAGGAGACAUCCUGAGGUUUAAAAAGAGGUUGAUUUCAAGGUUUCGACAUCUGUACUUGUUGCAGCAGUGACAAACGCAGAAGACUGUACACCCUGCCCAUAAAACUGGCUGCCCUGUUGUACUAUAUUAAAUCCCCAACCCUUCCUUGUUCACCUCCCAUUCAAGUUCAUUUUGGCUUUUGUUUCAAACAGCCGCAGUAACUCAUUAUAAACUCACUUUUGGC